UGCGAGGCCAGUAGUAUGCGCCUGCGGACUGUUAAUCCGUAUGUCACUGGUUCGAGUCCAGUCAGAGGAGCCA
Molecule: transfer RNA, 73 nt
Filed under: Klebsiella pneumoniae
Lineage: Bacteria; Pseudomonadati; Pseudomonadota; Gammaproteobacteria; Enterobacterales; Enterobacteriaceae
Description: tRNA-Asn
Rfam family: tRNA (bases 5-62)
About the family: Transfer RNA (tRNA) molecules are approximately 80 nucleotides in length. Their secondary structure includes four short double-helical elements and three loops (D, anti-codon, and T loops). Further hydrogen bonds mediate the characteristic L-shaped molecular structure. tRNAs have two regions of fundamental functional importance: the anti-codon, which is responsible for specific mRNA codon recognition, and the 3' end, to which the tRNAs corresponding amino acid is attached (by aminoacyl-tRNA synthetases). tRNAs cope with the degeneracy of the genetic code in two manners: having more than one tRNA (with a specific anti-codon) for a particular amino acid; and 'wobble' base-pairing, i.e. permitting non-standard base-pairing at the 3rd anti-codon position.
Source: RNAcentral